UUCCUGGUGGCUCAAACAGUAAAGAAUCUGCCUGCUAUGCAGGAGAUCCAGGUUCGAUCCCUGGGUAGGGAA
Bos taurus (domestic cattle) is the source of this 72-nucleotide non-coding RNA. Lineage: Eukaryota; Metazoa; Chordata; Mammalia; Artiodactyla; Bovidae. The record is from Rfam.